GCUUUCGUGGUGUAACGGUUAGCACACUCGGCCCGCAUUCGAGAGGUCCAGGUUCGAAUUCCGGGGAGGGCA
Molecule: non-coding RNA, 72 nt
Organism: Stegodyphus mimosarum
Lineage: Eukaryota; Metazoa; Arthropoda; Arachnida; Araneae; Eresidae
Source: Rfam